CGUACACUCCUGCGGGAGGCAGCAGUGGGGAAUAUUGCACAAUGGGCGCAAGCCUGAUGCAGCGACGCCGCGUGGGGGAUGAAGGCCUUCGGGUUGUAAACUCCUUUCGCUAGGGACGAAGCUUUUUUGUGACGGUACCUAGAUAAGAAGCACCGGCUAACUACGUGCCAGCAGCCGCGGUAAUACGUAGGGUGCGAGCGUUGUCCGGAAUUACUGGGCGUCAAGGGCUCGUAGGUGGUUUGUCGCGUCGUCUGUGAAAUUCUGGGGCUUAACUCCGGGCGUGCAGGCUAUACGGGCAUAACUUGAGUGCUGUAGGGGUAACUGGAAUUCCUGGUGUAGCGGUGAAAUGCGCAGAUAUCAGGAGGAACACCGAUGGCGAAGGCAGGUUACUGGGCAGUUACUGACGCUGAGGAGCGAAAGCAUGGGUAGCGAACAGGAUUAGAAACCCUAGUAGUCCCAUGA
Molecule: ribosomal RNA, 462 nt
Filed under: uncultured organism
Description: partial 16S ribosomal RNA
Rfam family: Bacterial small subunit ribosomal RNA
Source: RNAcentral